Molecule: transfer RNA, 100 nt
Filed under: Vicingaceae bacterium
Lineage: Bacteria; Pseudomonadati; Bacteroidota; Flavobacteriia; Flavobacteriales; Vicingaceae
Description: tRNA-Met
Source: RNAcentral
UUAUUUAAACUGUAUAACUAAUUGUCUACUAUUGAUUUACUGCACAAAUACCCUAUGACUCAUAAUCAGGUGGUCGCUGGUUCGAGCCCAGCAGGGCCCA